Molecule: ribosomal RNA, 878 nt
Filed under: Leuconostoc lactis
Lineage: Bacteria; Bacillati; Bacillota; Bacilli; Lactobacillales; Lactobacillaceae
Description: bacterial SSU rRNA
Rfam family: Bacterial small subunit ribosomal RNA
Source: RNAcentral
GCAAGUCGAACGCGCAGCGAAAGGUGCUUGCACCUUUCAAGCGAGUGGCGAACGGGUGAGUAACACGUGGAUAACCUGCCUCAAGGCUGGGGAUAACAUUUGGAAACAGAUGCUAAUACCGAAUAAAACUUAGUAUCGCAUGAUACAAAGUUGAAAGGCGCUACGGCGUCACCUAGAGAUGGGUCCGCGGUGCAUUAGUUAGUUGGUGGGGUAAAGGCCUACCAAGACAAUGAUGCAUAGCCGAGUUGAGAGACUGAUCGGCCACAUUGGGACUGAGACACGGCCCAAACUCCUACGGGAGGCUGCAGUAGGGAAUCUUCCACAAUGGGCGCAAGCCUGAUGGAGCAACGCCGCGUGUGUGAUGAAGGCUUUCGGGUCGUAAAGCACUGUUGUAUGGGAAGAAAUGCUAGAAUAGGGAAUGAUUCUAGUUCGACGGUACCAUACCAGAAAGGGACGGCUAAAUACGUGCCAGCAGCCGCGGUAAUACGUAUGUCCCGAGCGUUAUCCGGAUUUAUUGGGCGUAAAGCGAGCGCAGACGGUUGAUUAAGUCUGAUGUGAAAGCCCGGAGCUCAACUCCGGAAUGGCAUUGGAAACUGGUUAACUUGAGUGUUGUAGAGGUAAGUGGAACUCCAUGUGUAGCGGUGGAAUGCGUAGAUAUAUGGAAGAACACCAGUGGCGAAGGCGGCUUACUGGACAACAACUGACGUUGAGGCUCGAAAGUGUGGGUAGCAAACAGGAUUAGAUACCCUGGUAGUCCACACCGUAAACGAUGAAUACUAGGUGUUAGGAGGUUUCCGCCUCUUAGUGCCGAAGCUAACGCAUUAAGUAUUCCGCCUGGGGAGUACGACCGCAAGGUUGAAACUCAAAGGAAUUGACGG